GACGAACGCUGGCGGCGUGCUUAACACAUGCAAGUCGGACGGAAAGACCCUGCUUUUGUGUGGUUCUCGAGUGGCGAACGGGUGAGUAACACGCGAGUAACCUGCCCUUGACUUUGUGAUAACUUCAGGAAACUCGGGCUAAUAUCCGGUAGGAGCUCCUGCUGCACAUUGUUGGUUGGAGAGUUUCGGCGGUUGUGGAUGUACUCGCGGCUUAUCAGCUUGUUGGUGUGGUAGUGGAUUACCAAGGCUUUGACGGGUAGCCUGCCUGAGAGGGUUACCGGGGUCAUUGGGACUGAGAUACGGCACAGAAUGCUACGGGACGCAGCAGUGGGGAAUAUUGCACAAUAGGCGGAAGUGUGAUGCAGCAACGCCGCGUGCGGGAUAACGGGCUUAGGGUUGUAAACAGAUUUCGCCUGUGACGAAGAGUGAGUGACGGUAAUGAGUAAAGAAGCACCGGCUAACUACGUG
RNAcentral lists this ribosomal RNA (468 nucleotides) under uncultured bacterium. RNAcentral describes it as "partial 16S ribosomal RNA". It matches the Rfam family "Bacterial small subunit ribosomal RNA", at positions 28 to 507 of the family's 1533-position model. The record is from RNAcentral.